Molecule: ribosomal RNA, 450 nt
Filed under: uncultured bacterium
Lineage: Bacteria
Description: bacterial SSU rRNA
Rfam family: Bacterial small subunit ribosomal RNA
Source: RNAcentral
GUGGGGAAUAUUGGACAAUGGGCGAAAGCCUGAUCCAGCCAUGCCGCGUGUGUGAAGAAGGUCUUCGGAUUGUAAAGCACUUUAAGUUGGGAGGAAGGGCAGUAAGUUAAUACCUUGCUGUUUUGACGUUACCGACAGAAUAAGCACCGGCUAACUUCGUGCCAGCAGCCGCGGUAAUACGAAGGGUGCAAGCGUUAAUCGGAAUUACUUGGCGGAAAGCGCGCGUAGGUGGUUUUGUAAGUUGGAGGUGAAAUCCCCGGGCUCAACCUGGGAACUGCCUCCAAAACUGCAUGACUAGAGUACGGUAGAGGGUAGUGGAAUUUCCUGUGUAGCGGUGAAAUGCGUAGAUAUAGGAAGGAACACCAGUGGCGAAGGCGACUACCUGGACUGAUACUGACACUGAGGUGCGAAAGCGUGGGGAGCAAACAGGAUUAGAUACCCUUGUAGUCC